UACGUAGGGUGCAAGCGUUGUCCGGAAUUAUUGGGCGUAAAGGGCUCGUAGGCGGUCCAUCGCGUCGGGAGUGAAAAGCUGGGGCUUAACCCCAGUCCUGCUUUCGAUACGGGUGGACUAGAGGUAGGCAGGGGAGAACGGAAUUCCUGGUGUAGCGGUGAAAUGCGCAGAUAUCAGGAGGAACACCGGUGGCGAAGGCAGCUCGCUGGGACGUGACUGACGCUGAGACGCGAAAGCGUGGGGAGCAAACAGG
This 253-nucleotide ribosomal RNA is filed under the name uncultured bacterium. RNAcentral's name for it is "partial 16S ribosomal RNA". It matches the Rfam family "Bacterial small subunit ribosomal RNA", at positions 524 to 776 of the family's 1533-position model. The record is from RNAcentral.